GACGAACGCUGGCGGCGUGCUUAACACAUGCAAGUCGAACGGUGAAAGAAGAGCUUGCUCUUCUGGAUCAGUGGCGAACGGGUGAGUAACACGUGAGUAACCUGCCCCAGACUCUGGAAUAAGCGCUGGAAACGGCGUCUAAUACCGGAUACGAGACAGAGCCGCAUGGCUACUGUCCGGAAAGUUUUUCGGUCUGGGAUGGACUCGCGGCCUAUCAGCUUGUUGGUGAGGUAACGGCUCACCAAGGCAACGACGGGUAGCCGGCCUGAGAGGGCGACCGGCCACACUGGGACUGAGACACGGCCCAGACUCCUACGGGAGGCAGCAGUGGGGAAUAUUGCACAAUGGGCGAAAGCCUGAUGCAGCGACGCCGCGUGAGGGAUGACGGCCUUCGGGUUGUAAACCUCUUUCAGCAGGGAAGAAGCGAAAGUGACGGUACCUGCAGAAGAAGCACCGGCUAACUACGUG
RNAcentral lists this ribosomal RNA (468 nucleotides) under uncultured bacterium. Its description in RNAcentral is "partial 16S ribosomal RNA". It matches the Rfam family "Bacterial small subunit ribosomal RNA", at positions 28 to 507 of the family's 1533-position model. The record is from RNAcentral.